Molecule: long non-coding RNA, 561 nt
Organism: Cornus florida
Lineage: Eukaryota; Viridiplantae; Streptophyta; Magnoliopsida; Cornales; Cornaceae
Exons: 4
Source: RefSeq, a predicted model, not a curated record
GAUCGAAACAUAUACAGAAGCAAACAAAGACAAAUAUAGCAACGUGAAUGUGAGGUAGCUCCUUUGUAACAGUUCUGAGCUUCUUCUUCAGUUCUAUAUAUCUCCAAGGUCGGCCACCCCCUUUCUCUCAGACUGUCCAAGCCGUCAUUCUUCUUUCUCUCCAAGCCCAACCCUUUUACCGAAGCCACUGAGGGUUGAAUCGACGGUCAGCGCAAUGUAGAGCAGAGAAGAUAGUGGCACAGCUGAUUGGCGUCGAGAUUGAACAAGGUUUCGCCCCUUUCUCCAAGCCCUAACCCUAGCUCCCUCUCUCAUUCGAACCCUAAAUUCGAAGGACACGAAUUGAGCUGUCCCAUAUCUAAAAACCCAAGCUUGGAUCCGCAGUUUAGUGUAUAAAUCAGUUUUUCCUGUGGGCUGGUCAAGCUUUGUUUGGGACUCUUACGCCUGACAUAAUUGUUCUCACUCUCUUGUACAGCAUAGCCGGGCUGGGUAUCGCCAUCGUAAAUGACUUUAAAAGUGUUGAAGGGGAUAGAACACUCGAACUUUAGGUUUUCUCCAUUAAUU